CAGCAACGUCCACUGGGGCAUGCCUUUUCAUUUACGGCGAAAGGUUGUUCUUCAACCCGGAGCAUUUGUUUGGGUUUUCCUGUGCUGCGUACCUACUUUAGGGUAUGUUGUUGUUUGGUUAUUGUGAUUUUUCAUUCUACGUCACUCGCGUGGCGUGGGGUGAACCAUAAUUGGCCUCUCUAUGAUCCGUGUCUUUGAUGCAUUGUGUCCUUGGCAUGGCCCAUUGAGCGUGGCUUGGUUUCAUGGAUACAGAACCUUAUGUGGGUAUGGGGUCUCUUCGGACCUUGUGUUUGCCCUCAUCAAGCGUUCUUGCUUCUAAGAAACAACCUGCGAUCGUGCAUGGAACUUGUUUUGUUCAUGAUCGUUGUUGUCGAAG
This 376-nucleotide unclassified non-coding RNA is filed under the name Calopappus acerosus. RNAcentral describes it as "partial miscellaneous RNA". Lineage: Eukaryota; Viridiplantae; Streptophyta; Magnoliopsida; Asterales; Asteraceae. The record is from RNAcentral.